RNAcentral lists this long non-coding RNA (894 nucleotides) under Homo sapiens (human). RNAcentral describes it as "HSALNT0358871". Lineage: Eukaryota; Metazoa; Chordata; Mammalia; Primates; Hominidae. The record is from RNAcentral.
AGUCCUAAACUGUUCAUCCUAUCCUGCCUUACCCUUCUCUCAGAAACCCCAACAAAGGCCAUGCCUUACAACUUACCUUGCUCCUGUUUCUGCCUCCUGACCACUCUGGUCUUCCCCAUGUUGCCAUGUAUGGCAUGCCUCCUGUCUCUAGGACCUAUGCAGCAAAAGAGAAAAACAAUGAAAGUCUGUAUUAGUAACCAGAAAAACGGUCAGAAGUCUGAGGUACCUGAGAGAAGACAGCAAAAUGAGAUCUGGAAUUUGAGGAGCACCUGUUAGGAGAAGAGCCAUCUCUACUACUCCCCAAAAGAUUCCCUGUUCUAGUUGGCCUUCUAUAUUGGUGGUUUCUGAAUACAUACCCCAAAGAACCUGAGCAUCAGUGAAUUCUGGUAUCUUCUGGGAGCCCUGGAACUAAUCUCUUGAAGAUACCAACGGAUGACUGUGUUUUAAAAGGCGAGAGAGAGAUGUCACUCAGGACUGCUUCCGAAGGAGUUUCCCUUGAAGCUUGCUUCACUGUCUGACUCCUUUCAUACAAGUGGGUAACAUGCCCUUCAUUCAGAACCAAACCUGUGCCCUGGCUUGGUAUAUUUCCUCCACCUGCUGAGCAUCCUCUCACCCUCUACUUUUACCUGGAAGAAAGAAGACAAUAAUAUCUACCAAUCAAGAUGCUGUACCUGAAGCAGAAGAUAACCUGGCAAAGAAAAGAGUAUAGUGCUGCCUUCAGGGAACUCCUAGUCUAGGGGAAGACAGCCAAUAAUCACAUAACUGCUCUAAUCAAAUAUUUCACCAAAAUAAAGUAUUAGCCACCUCCUAGAAUCCAGGCUCUGUUGUAAGUGCUGAGGAUACGGCAAUGAACAUAAAUGCCUAAACUCUGCAGUGUUGGUGCUCACAUUCUUG